GAUGAACGCUGGCGGCGUGCCUAAUACAUGCAAGUCGAGCGAACAGACGAGGAGCUUGCUCCUCUGACGUUAGCGGCGGACGGGUGAGUAACACGUGGAUAACCUACCUAUAAGACUGGGAUAACUUCGGGAAACCGGAGCUAAUACCGGAUAAUAUAUUGAACCGCAUGGUUCAAUAGUGAAAUACGGUUUUGCUGUCACUUAUAGAUGGAUCCGCGCCGCAUUAGCAAGUUGGUAAGGUAACGGCUUACCAAGGCAACGAUGCUUACCCGACCUGAGAGGGUGAUCGGCCACACGGGAACUGAGACACGGACCAGACUCCUACGGGAGGCAGCAGUAGGGAAUCUUCCGCAAUGGGCGAAAGCCUGACGGAGCAACGCCGCGUGAGUGAUGAAGGUCUUCGGAUCGUAAAACUCUGUUAUUAGGGAAGAACAAAUGUGUAAGUAACUAUGCACGUCUUGACGGUACCUAAUCAGAAAGCCACGGCUAACUACGUG
Molecule: ribosomal RNA, 497 nt
Filed under: uncultured bacterium
Lineage: Bacteria
Description: partial 16S ribosomal RNA
Rfam family: Bacterial small subunit ribosomal RNA
Source: RNAcentral